This 119-nucleotide ribosomal RNA is filed under the name Schistocephalus solidus. The record is from RNAcentral. Lineage: Eukaryota; Metazoa; Platyhelminthes; Cestoda; Diphyllobothriidea; Diphyllobothriidae.
CAGAGCGGCCAUACUACACAGAAGGCACCGGUUCUCGUUUGCUCACCACAGUUAAGCUACGUCAGGCCCAGUUACUACUUUCGUGGAUGACCAGCUGGGAAUAAAGGACGUGGCUCCCG